GCCGCGUGAAACCGGAGUUGAGCGAGGCCCGCGCUAUCCGGCGCCAGAGCAGGUCGCAGCUGGUGAAGCGCCGCAGCCAGCGGCACACCUGGGCCAGGCGGCCGAGGGCCCGCAUGUCGAGGCAGGGUCUCACUGCGCAGCUCUGGCUGGCCAGGAGCUUGCUGUAUAGACCAGCCUGACUCUCUCUGCAGCACUCUGAUCAAAGCACUUGGAAGGUGGAGAUAGGAGAAUCAGAAGUUCAAGGUCAUCUCUAACAACAUGGUCAAUUUGAAGUCAGCCUUGAGAUACAAGAGACUCUGUCUCAGAUAAGGAAACGAAUGUAUCAUGAAAGAAUAAAAUAAAGAACAAAUUUGAAUAUAAGAAUGAAGAGGGCUGGAAAGAUGGUUCAGUGUUCUUACUGCUCUGGCAGACUGGGGCUCAGUUCCCAGCACCCACACGGUGGCCAACAACAGUCUGUAACUCCAGUUCCAGAGCAACCAAUAUCCUCCUCCUCGGACCCUCGGGCACCAGGCACGCAUGUGCACAAACAUACUGCACGUAAAAUUAAAAUAAAUAAAUAAAAAGGGGAAAUAAGAGGCCUCACAGUGAAUGUUUUUGGAAACAAACUUCUCCUAAUAGAGGAAACAUCUAAAAUGUUUUCAGAAAUCACAAUCAGUAUCUCAUAUCCAGAAUAUUCAGAAAUCUUGUUAGAAAAGCCAUUGCCAUCUGGAUCUACCAUCUUUGCCAUAUUUAAAAAAAAAAAAAACAACAACUGGGUUUUGUUUGUUUGUUUUGGGUUUCUUGAGACAGGUUUCCCAGAACUCACUUUGUAGAUUAGGCUGGCCUCAAACACACAGAGAUCCACCUGCCCCUGCCUCCAAAGCACUAGGAUUAAAAGCAUGUGCCACCACCUUUACCACCCAGGGAGAAAACUUUAUUAUUUCAUAUGAAAUAAUUCCAAGCAAGUGCUGACUUAAAAUACUUUAACCAAAAAAGACUGGAAGGGAUUGUAACAAAUGUCAGAGAUGACUGUGGAGUUGUGUUCUGUUCUGUCUGCCCAUACUUUUGAUAGUCAUGUCUAAAGAAAAAAGGCCCAAAAGGUAUUUACACCAAGUGUAAACUAAUAAUGAAUCCCAGCACCAGCAGAGUCAGGUGGUUGGAGGCCAGCCUGGUCUACAGAUGGAGUUCCGGGACAGCCAGGGCUACACAGGGAAACUCUGUUUCAAACAAAAAUAAAAACAAAAGCAAUCAAGAAAGGUAGGCACUAUUUCAAAUAUAAUUCUGGCUUUGUGACUAUGAGAAAGCACAGUUUCUUUCCCCCGCCCCCUCUCCUCCUGAGAAAAGGUUUCUCUAUGCAGCCUGCUGUCCUGGACAAACUUUGUAGAUCAGGCUGGCCUCCAACUCACAGAGAUCCUCCUGCCUCUGCCUCCCGAGUGUUGGGAUCACACAGGUGUGCACAAACACUCCCAGCUGAGAAAACACAUUUUCAAUCAUUAAUUGUAAAUAAAUUAUGUACAUAUGUAUAUGUUUAAGUGUAGUAUGUAAAUAUACAAUGCCUGUAAUUAACAGAAUGGGAGAACAGGGAAAAUCCAACUUUGUGAGAAAGAAAAGGAAUCGCAAUAUUUUCAGGAAAUUUCCCAGUUGGCAGUCACAGGGCACAUAUGUGGAGGUCAAGGACAGCUCGAAGGAGUCACUGCUCUUCUUCUACCAAGAGGGUUCCAGAAAUUGCAUCGGGCCUGACAGGAAGCACCUUUACCCACUGAGACUUCGUACUAGCCCUCAGUUUUGUCUGACUAAAACAUGUUCACACGCUUACAUACAUAUGUGCACAUGUACUAAAUA
Meriones unguiculatus (Mongolian gerbil) is the source of this 1821-nucleotide long non-coding RNA. RefSeq lists it as uncharacterized. The transcript is spliced from 4 exons. The record is from RefSeq and is a predicted model, not a curated record. NCBI's taxonomy places the organism in Eukaryota, Metazoa, Chordata, Mammalia, Rodentia, Muridae.